GGUUCGCCGCCCGCCGGUGUCAACUGGCAUGUCCUGUGGAACGUCCUGCCGGUGGCGGACCGGGCUUUCGGCUUGCGUAAGGGCUUACGCUCGAAGCAGGCCGAACAGUACCGGCCGCCGGUCCAAUCCCGCCACGGUGCUCUUCACCGAGUGUCGAGGUGGGCCGGCACGUUUACUUUGAACAAAUUAGAGUGCUUAAAGCAGGCUGGUGUCCGCCUGAAUACUGUGUGCAUGGAAUAAUAGAAUAGGACCUCGGUUCUAUUUUGUUGGUUUUCGGAACCCGASGUAAUGAUUAAUAGGGACAGGCGGGGGCAUUCGUAUUGCGACGUUAGAGGUGAAAUUCUUGGAUCGUCGCAAGACGAACCUAAGCGAAACCAUUUGCCAAGUAUGUUCUCGUUAAUCAAGAACGAAAGUUAGAGGUUCGAAGGCGAUCAGAUACCGCCCUAGUUCUAACCAUAAACGAUGCCAGCCAGCGAUCCGCCGAAGUUCCUCCGAUGACUCGGCGGGCAGCUUCCGGGAAACCAAAGCUUUUGGGUUCCGGGGGAAGUAUGGUUGCAAAGCUGAAACUUAAAGGAAUUGACGGAAGGGCACCACCAGGAGUGGAGCCUGCGGCUUAAUUUGACUCAACACGGGAAACCUCACCAGGCCCGGACACCGAGAGGAUUGASAGAUUGAGAGCUCUUUCUUGAUUCGGUGGGUGGUGGUGCAUGGCCGUUC
RNAcentral lists this ribosomal RNA (717 nucleotides) under Aeneolamia contigua. RNAcentral describes it as "SSU rRNA". It matches the Rfam family "Eukaryotic small subunit ribosomal RNA", at positions 734 to 1304 of the family's 1831-position model. Lineage: Eukaryota; Metazoa; Arthropoda; Insecta; Hemiptera; Cercopidae. The record is from RNAcentral.